GCCCAGGUGGCAUAAUGGUUAAGUGUUUGGCUGCUAACCAAAAGGUUGGUGGUUUGAACCCACCCAGCAGCU
RNAcentral lists this transfer RNA (72 nucleotides) under Loxodonta africana (African savanna elephant). It matches the Rfam family "tRNA". From Rfam's summary of the family: Transfer RNA (tRNA) molecules are approximately 80 nucleotides in length. Their secondary structure includes four short double-helical elements and three loops (D, anti-codon, and T loops). Lineage: Eukaryota; Metazoa; Chordata; Mammalia; Proboscidea; Elephantidae. The record is from Rfam by way of RNAcentral.